This 1816-nucleotide long non-coding RNA is filed under the name Phasianus colchicus (ring-necked pheasant). Its description in RNAcentral is "lncRNA (ENSPCLG00000014633.1)". The record is from RNAcentral. Lineage: Eukaryota; Metazoa; Chordata; Aves; Galliformes; Phasianidae.
GCACUGCUGAGGUGCACUCCUUGGUAUUUGGGGACAAGCUGGCACACCAGCAGCAUCGCUUCCUUUAGUUUCAGGAACAGGGGACAAUUAGUCUCAGCAUCUGGUCUGAAGAUGGGAUGGGCACCAGGACGUCGGCACCUGACACCUCCCACAGGCUCCAGUGAGGAGCUGCAAAGUUAACGCGCGUGCAAGCAGAACAGGAACUGCUCGAACCGGGCUUAACAGCAAGAAUCAGGCAGAGAAAAAAAGAAGAAAAAGCAUGCUUUCCCCUUACCUAUCGCCUCUGUUAGAAGCCUGGACAGUGUCUUUAGAAUGCCCGGGCGUCUGGAGCCACAGGGCACAGGACUUUCAGCACAUGCACACAGAGCCCAGCACAAGCCAUCUUCUCCUGCCUCCUAGCACCACGCGAGCUUCCAGCAGCUCCGCUCUCCAGCUGCAAACAUCUCAUUAGACUAAUGCAUUCAGCACAGGCAGAAAACUCGAUUUACCAUAGCUACAGCAAUGAAUUUCCAUUACGAUGACAGCUUCAACCACAUCAUGUCCGGAAAACCAGCCAACCACUGCCUUUUAAAGAACGCACACAUUUUACACACAGAAAACGGGGGGCCGUGUGUGGUGUUCCCUUUCUCUUUGCAGCUAAGCGGAGAACAAAUUGCCAUGUCUGUGCAUGUCAGAACUCCGCGAGCCGAAAGGUGGAGGCAUCCGGACGUUUUGCAGGCAGCGGAACCCUGCGCAGCGGUGCGGCAGACCCCAAGACUGCCAGCACCCAAAAAGCAGAGUGGUUGGACAAAAUUCCUCACACCUGAAGCAGGCAACUGAAAUAAGGUGCAAUAACCAUGGCCAGAACUGGAGCAUCAGCACAGCUUGCUGCAGCUAAGGAACAGAGUUCCCUUCACACCUCUAGGCUAAGGGGCCUCACUCAAAUGGUCACUUUGCACUUGUUUAUGCAGCAUGGACUUCCCAUGGACCAUGUCACAGAAUCACAGAAUCACCAAGGUUGGAAAAGACCUUCAAGAUCAUCCAGUCCAACCAUCCACCUCUCACCAAUAGUAUUCACUAAACAUGUUCCCCAACACAAAAUCCAAACAUAAAUGUCUGCUGGCCCAGUGCUAGCAGUGGUAUUCAAAUCCUGAUGCAGCUCCAAGAGCAGCACAAGGAGGUCAUGUAUCUAUCUGCUGCUUUGCUGAUGCUACCCACAUGCCGAGGUUUCCAAAUCUGUGCCCACCAGAAUGGAUGCACAUUGCACAGCACAGCACAGGGUCUUUGCUCAGCUCUGAGCUCAGAAGAUGUUGGUCAGAGCAUCUUGCUCCAGAAACACCAAGGUGAUGGCAAUUGCUGCAUUGCGCUCUGUGUGAAGAUCAUGGAAGAGUCAGGAUUAUUUUUUGCGUGACUUUCCAUUGCUAAUUACAUUAGCCAUGCCUGACGAGGAUAAGGCACUGAAAGGCUGAAUUAGAAACUCUUCACUGCUUAUGCACCAGAGUUGUUGUUUGUGAGGCAAUACACCGAAACAUCAGCUUCUUAUUGUGAGAGCAGUAAUGCACAGAUAGAACCAACUCAUCUGGGGAGCACUGAACGAAGGGAAAUAAGGUUCAAGAAGAAGGCACGGUCCCCUCAUUACAAGAGCUCCCACCACACACCUGCAGCGCCCCAUGGCCCACACGCUGCUUCUGCAGGGAAGCAGUCAGCCUUAGAACCAUUAAGGCUGGAGAAGACCACUAAGAUCAUCUAGUCCAGCCAUCAGCCCAUCACCACCGUGCUCAUUAAACCUUCUACCACCAUGGAAAACAAAGCGUCUUAAAUACUUUUCCUAAAAGAG